RNAcentral lists this long non-coding RNA (1126 nucleotides) under Oryctolagus cuniculus (rabbit). Its description in RNAcentral is "lncRNA (ENSOCUG00000031223.1)". Lineage: Eukaryota; Metazoa; Chordata; Mammalia; Lagomorpha; Leporidae. The record is from RNAcentral.
AUGAGCAUUUUUGAGCACGCAGAACACAUCGGCUCAGCCUGGAGCCAGCAGUUAGAGCGCGAACACACACACACACACACACACACACACACACACACACACACGCAGGCACGCACGCGGAGCAGUGCUUUCCUCUCAAGUGAGGCGGCAUUAGCAACUGCAGUUCCAGCUUCCUCAGCUGAGCUCCCGGCGGCCACUGCCUGCCUGAUUUGUCGGAGGAGCGCUAGAGUCCAGUUUCUGAGGGAUCCGGUAACAUGUAGCUGUCACAGCUGGUGGCAGACAGCCACUUCUUUCCAGCUGCUUCGCAGCCCUGGCAAGAGGACACCCUCUUCCAAAAUUCACGCUGCCUGGGGAGGAGGCUGCUCAGUGCAGAUUUCUUUGCAGGGUAGAGAAAAGGAUAACUCUGGAUACACUUUUUGUCCUGAACAAAGGAGACAGCACAGACAUCUUCAGACAAGUCCCACAUCUCCAAUAUUGCAGGAGGAAGCUUUACCUGUUCCACCUCAACACUUGCCCUGCACCCAUUUCUUUUCUGACAAGGAUGUGUCCUGCAAUUGCAACUUCAAUUUUGUUUGAAGAUUGGUACUGACAAGCUGACUGGUAAGUGACACCACAAUUCUUAUUAUGAUGCAUUUUUUAAAGUAUAUGUUCUAUAGUCAUCUUGGCACCCUGAUUUUCAAAUACAGAAAUCAGCAACUGGGACUUAAAGGAGUGAAAUUCUCUACUGUCUUCCCAAAGAUACAGUGUCUAGAGAAAUAGUUGAUGAAUUAUUCUCACUGAAUAGUUGUUUCUGGCAAUAGUUGAUUGAGUUAAAUCAUUGGAUAACAUUCUGUAUCUGUGGCAGUUGUGAAUUACAUUUCAAAGGAAACCAAGGGGCUCUGAGUAAAGAAAAAAAUGAUAGGUAAACUAACUUGAGAAGAACUAUGAGAAUUAGUUUGUAUGAAUAAUAUGGUUUACUUCAAUUUUAUGUCUUUAAAAUUUUAGUAUGCAUAAAGAUGAAAGAUUUCUAAAGUUCUUCUCACGUGGCUUACUAAUAUAGAACCGAAUGUGUUGUUUUGUUGUAGAAUUCGAAAGGAAGCUAUUGUUUCAAUUGUGCACCAAAAUAAUAAACUCUUGCCAGAAAACA